CCUACGGGGUGCAGCAGUGAGGAAUAUUGGUCAAUGGACGCAAGUCUGAACCAGCCAAGUAGCGUGCAGGAUGAUGGCCCUCCGGGUUGUAAACUGCUUUUAGUUGGGAAUAAAAGGGGGCUCGUGAGCCCCGUAUUGUAUGUACCAUCAGAAAAAGGACCGGCUAAUUCCGUGCCAGAAGCCGCGGUAAUACGGAAGGUCCGGGCUUUAUCCGGAUUUAUUGGGUUUCAAGGGAGCGUAGGCCAGCUUUUAAGUCAGCUGUGAAAGUCCGCAGCUGAACCGUGGAAUUACAGUUGAAACUGGAGGCCUUGAGUGCACACAGAGAUGCCGGAAUCCAUGUGGUAGCGGUGACAUGCUUCGAGAGUAUGAAGAACACCGAGCGCGAAGGCAAGUGUCCGGGGUGCAACUGACGCUGAGGCUCGAAAGUGCGGGUAUCAAACAGGAUUAGAUACCCUAGUGGUC
This 462-nucleotide ribosomal RNA is filed under the name uncultured bacterium. RNAcentral describes it as "partial 16S ribosomal RNA". It matches the Rfam family "Bacterial small subunit ribosomal RNA", at positions 338 to 795 of the family's 1533-position model. The record is from RNAcentral.